GAUGAACGCUGGCGGCGUGCCUAAUACAUGCAAGUCGAGCGAACAGAUGAGGAGCUUGCUCCUCUGACGUUAGCGGCGGACGGGUGAGUAACACGUGCAUAACCUACUUAUAAGACGUGGGGAACUACGGGAAACCGGAGCCAAUAAUGGAUAAUAUGUUCAACCGCAGGGUUCAAUAGUGAAUGACGGUUUUCCUGUCUCUAAUAGAUGGUGCCGGGCCGGAUUAGUUAGUUGGUAAGGUAACGGCCUACCAAGGCAACGGAGCGUAGCUGACCUGAGAGGGUGAUCAGGCACACUGGAACUGAGGCACGGUCCAGGAUCCCAAGGGAGGGCAGAGGGGGGAAAUCUGCAGAAAGGGGGGAAAGCCUGACCAGGCAACGCGGGUGGGGUAAGAAAGGUUUUCGGAUCGUAAAACUCUGUUAUUAGGGAAAAAAGAAUGUGUAUGUAACCAUGCUCGUCUGAAGGGUACCAAAGCAGAAAGCCCCGCCAAAUUAGGG
Molecule: ribosomal RNA, 497 nt
Filed under: uncultured bacterium
Lineage: Bacteria
Description: partial 16S ribosomal RNA
Rfam family: Bacterial small subunit ribosomal RNA
Source: RNAcentral